RNAcentral lists this ribosomal RNA (254 nucleotides) under uncultured bacterium. RNAcentral describes it as "partial 16S ribosomal RNA". It matches the Rfam family "Bacterial small subunit ribosomal RNA", at positions 524 to 776 of the family's 1533-position model. The record is from RNAcentral.
CACGUAGGGGGCGAGCGUUGUCCGGAUUUAUUGGGCGUAAAGAGCUCGUAGGCGGCUUGGUAAGUCGGGUGUGAAACCUCCAGGCUCAACCUGGAGACGCCACUCGAUACUGCUAUGGCUAGAGUCCGGUAGGGGAGCGUGGAAUUCCUGGUGUAGCGGUGAAAUGCGCAGAUAUCAGGAGGAACACCAGCGGCGAAGGCGGCGCUCUGGGCCGGAACUGACGCUGAGGAGCGAAAGCGUGGGGAGCAAACAGG